UUGAGGAUGGUGUGGAACUCU
Molecule: non-coding RNA, 21 nt
Filed under: Arabidopsis thaliana (thale cress)
Lineage: Eukaryota; Viridiplantae; Streptophyta; Magnoliopsida; Brassicales; Brassicaceae
Source: RNAcentral